Molecule: long non-coding RNA, 5264 nt
Filed under: Sus scrofa (pig)
Lineage: Eukaryota; Metazoa; Chordata; Mammalia; Artiodactyla; Suidae
Description: lncRNA (ENSSSCG00000059773.1)
Source: RNAcentral
UAUACACUCUUUGUUCCUGCCAUUAAUUUCUUUCUCGCCUAAAAUAUACCUUUCACUCUUUUUCUCCCAAAUUGAAGCCCUACAAUUUCCCUGUACACCAAAAAUUCUCUCUGUGUUAGAGCUUUACAUAGCAACUCACUCAGCAGAUGGACAUCACAGCACAUGUUGCUUACUGCCAUGUUAACAGGUCCUUGCAGGAGAGCAAAUGAAAAGAUAUAAUAAUGCAAGUCAAGAGGGAUUCUGGGCAAAUGUCUAGAUUGUUCAGUUACAGAUCUGGGCCCAGUGGAAUUAUCAGCCCUGAAAACCAGAUGCCUGACAUCUUUGCUGUGUCAGUCCAUGCAUCUGCAGCAGCUCUAAGCCUCCCCUCUGUGUUAGACAAGCAGGUUUCACAGCAGCAGCCACUGCAGUGCAUGUCUGCCAAGCCUCUCCUGGGUCUAUACACCAAACUGCUAGAAAACAGGACUCGACUGGAAUUAGAAACUUGAAUUUUCUAUCCAAAGAAAUAAACAGUACACAGCCUAAAAGGUUUUUUCUUCUCCAUUAAACAUACAGAGGAAAUUUUGCUGCUGGAGCAUUGCUCAAUCCCCCACCAUCUCAACGAGUUCAUACUGUGUAAAUAUUGUGAUCUUAAUAAAUAAAUACUGAAGCACAGCUGGCGCCGGCAAGAUAUCGCUGUUAGGUUGCCGUGGCCCUGUUAUCACCAGUGGGUGUUGCUAAUUAUUCUCAGAACUGAGGCUCUGGCAUAGGAGGGGAAAGGAAUGGAGAGGAAAGUCAACAGAGGUUGAAACAAAAAUAAAACAUUGUUUGUUUCGGUCCAUAGCAAGGGCAUUCCACCCUUGUGAAAACCAGAGAUACAUAUAGCUUAGGUAUGUGAGUUGCUUUUCUCCGUAAAAAUGAUUUAACAACACUAUUUAUUUCAGUCCUUGAUUGCAUUCCAGCUGAUUAAAAUUCACACCACUCGUUUGUAAGGGCAAGAGGAGGUAAUUGGGGUGUUCAAAGGACAGCACUGUGAACCUGAAUAUCUUAAAUGAAUGAGUUUACCAACAGAAAAGAUUUCUUUUUUCUUCUUCCCUUGUAUUCUGGCAGGUGUGUUAACGACCUAGCUCUGCACAUUGCACACAAAAGAGGUUCAUUGUGCGUAACUGUCUUGACUUGAGAAAGCAGCUGCUUUUUAGAUAUGUUGUCAAGCAGGAAAGGAGCUGCAUAUGAAUAGCUACCUUCUUUUUUGAAAAUGCCAAGGUUAAUUUUUAAUUGCUGGCAGCAGAAUAGCCCCUAUGACCACAGCAUUCCAUGCAGGUAGAGUUUGUGCUGGCUCAUCAAAUUACUGCUGCCUCUCGAGUCAUGUUUUGUUUUCUGACUCUGAGCCCAAUGGAUAAGCAGAGAGUACUGUUAAAGAGCUGCUGGCAUCAUGUUGUGCUAUUACAGUAAAGAAGCUACUCUCAGUUACUACUGUCAGCAUUUCAUCGGACAACAGGGAGGUGUGACUUCAGAAAAUACUAAUUACCAUACUUAAAAGUCAGAUACUUCCUCCUAGUUCUCCUUCCUUUGCUGCUUCUCUCCUGGUCUACCUUGGCAACCCUUCUUAAUCAACCCUUAACAUGCCAUUUUUCACUCCCAUUGUUAAGUGGAUUUAGAUUCUAAGAGAUGAUUUGGAGCCAGCUGUUCCUAUGCUUCUUACAGGGACAUCUCUGUCCACUAAAAUCUAUUACUGGGUCUGAGACUGUUGGUAAUCCCCUGCUGCUUUAUUCAAAAAUGACUCAACAGGAGGCAGUAUAUUCCGGGGUUUUUCUAGCCUAGGGAAGAAAAACAUUCAACACUUGCUGAAACUAUAGGGAAAUUUCUGUCAGGCAGAGUAUGUUUAGAAGAAACUCUUUGUUUUUUCAUAGUUUUUAUUCUUGCCAGGAUUAUUCAACCAAAGCCAUUCUUCCUGUUAUUCUGUGUCCCAAAUAAAUUUAUAAAGCAAAUAAUAAAGCCAUUAAUGCCUGAAACAGAUUGCAUUUGUUUUGACUAUUCCUAUCUGAAUGUUGUUUCUAUAGUUGCUUGCUUGAGUCACUUUAUUAGUAAAGUGAUGUUCACUUCAAUUAAACAGAGAACAAAAUUAGCAUCUUGCCUAGUUCUCAGUCAUAACAAACAUUGAUGCCAGGGGCACAAUUCAAAACGGCAAUUAUUUGCUAGUGGGAUGUGCGCAAAUAUUGGGCACUGCAUAACUUCUCAAGGUUGGGAUAGCACCAGUCUCAUUUCCUGCAGUACUUGCUUUCUAUAAUAGCAAACCAUCCAAAUCCAUCUUUGUGAAGAUAUGAUAUCAUCAAAAUGAACAUAGCAAAUCUAAUGUCCUACCAGUUGUUAGGAUGUGUCUGUGUUUUCCCUGAACAUUUAAAUUAUCACGUGGCAUACUUUGAAGUUCUUUGUGUAGGUUAGGAACCAUGGGUUUAGAGGUUAGGUUUUGCUUAAUGCAUUGACUUUGAUCAGUAUCAACGGUCCCUAUUAUGUGCUUCAAAAAAUUUUAAUAUGAAAAUAAGGAGUAUACUCUCUCAACUUAGUUUUUAAUGGAUUUUUGAUGUCCCACUAAAUCUAGUAGAUCUUUUUCCAUGUUUUCCUUAGAUUAAGUCAUGUAUACUACAGUCAGUAUCCUCUAUUUAUUACCUUUGGUCUUGAUAAACAGCAAUAGACUUACCCACAGCACUACAUACAGUGAACUGAGGUAUGUUCUCAUUGAUGAGAUAUGAAACUGAGUUUCAUUAUUAUCCAAAUUAAAGAUAUAAUAAAAUUCUUUAAUAAUUUGAAGACUGGCAUACCAUACUCUCAACUAAUUUUAACAAAUCAAGACCUAUAGGUCUGUGGCAUUAUUUCUUUCCUGUUUGCUUCUCUGAGGUUAGAAGCUGUAUUAGGCAAGUGUAUCACCUGACUAUCUCUGGGGGAUUCCUGGCAUCACUGUUAGGAGACAGGGCUGCGGACUGGGAUCAUUUUAGAAUUGUCAUGAGUGAAGUGUGUUAGCUAUCAAAUACUAUACUUCUGAGACAUGGAGAAGAUCCCUUGGGCCUCUAAUGUGUUUGGAAUAGUUCAUUAGCAAACAUUAUUCUCAGGUAAAUUCACACAGAAGUUUCCUCUUCCUAACUCACAGUUGUUGGAGAAAACAGAGCUGACAUUUAUUCUCACUCACCUGGGAAUAACUAGUAUUUGCCUUUUCAAAGAGCUUUCUAAUGAUGCAAUUUAUGUAGUGCUCAAUUGUGAAAUUUUUGACCCCAUAUCUGGAGUUAUCCUACCUCUCAGAAUACCACAUCCCUGACCAACAUGUAAGCAUGACAAAUGCAUUAUAGCAGCAUCUUUUAGUGAAGAGUGACAGUAAUGACAAGAGAGGGUAGCAUGAUAGACUGUGGAUUCAGAGAAGGUUGAGUUUUUACAUAGGUCCACUACUUAUAGAUGUAUUACAUUAAGCAGUUACUCUAAUUCCCUAAGCUUCAACUUUUCACAUAUAAGAUGAGAACAAAAAUAACUCAUAUGGUAAUUGUGGAAAUGAAAAUCAUUAUUGCAUAUAGAAAGCAUAUAAAGUCCUGCGUCUAGCAUGCAGUGUAUGUUGAAUAAAUUGCAAGAGUUAUUGUCAUGGCCAGUUACCAUUAUUAACGAUAAUGUCUGAACAUCUGACAGGAAAAGAAGGCAGGUAGUUAAUUGUCAGGAGACUUGUAUAUGUUUUGAAUUGAAGGGGAUCAAAUUCAGAGUGCAACCUUUGGUUGUGCAUUGUUCAGUGUACUGUUGGGAUCAAUGGUGCCCCUUCCAUCCACAGUUGAUUACAACUCCAGGAGCUUGCACUUUUUUAAAAAACUGGAUGAUAUAAGUAAUCACCAAUUUUCCUAUAAAAAGCUUUUGGAACAGUGGUCUAUUUAGGAUAUAUGUUAAGUAGCCUAAUGAGAUGUGUAAUCUUGACAGGUAGAUAACAUUGAUAAGGAAUAAGAAGUUCUGGUGCAGGAGAAGGACAGGAGUUUGGGGAAGGGGAAAAGGAUGGGAGGAAUAAAUUAGGAGUUUGGGAUUAAAAUAUACAAACUAUUACAUAUAAAAUGGACAACCAACAAGGACUGACUUACAGCAAGGAGACUAUAUGCAAUAUAUUAUAAUGAAAUAAUGGAAAAAAGAAUAUAUAUAUUAUAUAUAUUUUCUACAUAUAUACAUAUACAAAGUUUGUAUAGUUUAAUCACUUUGCUGUACACAUGAAACUAACAAAACAUUGUAAAUCAACUACAUUUCAACAAAAUUUUUUUAAAAAAGGAUCGGAGACCAGGAGAGUAGAAUUUUCUUUGCUCUGCAGGUUUUCCCAUUUAAGCAGUCCCUGUGACUCCCUAGAAAUUUACACCUCUGUAGAGAUAUAGCAAAUGGAAAAGUGUUCGUUUCCAAAUCUGUCCCCUCUGAGGAACUCUCCUGCUGGGCUUAAACUGACUGUUCAUUUUAGGCCUCAUUUACUAUUUUGUCUUCAGAAGUGUUUUCAGUAUGAACAGUGAAAGUUGCUUUAAUUUUACUUGUUCUUAACCUAUUCAUGAAAAAAUAAAAUUUUCAAAAACUGCAAGAUUCAAAAAAAGAAUAAACACAGUUACAAAGAUUAGGUUCAGGUUUCAACAAAGAAUUUACUAGUUUAGAAAUUAGGUGCAAUAGAAUGAUAAACCUAUUUCCAAAUAUCUCCAUGGGAUAUUUCACGACUAAAAAGUAUUAAAAUCCAUUUAUUCCACCUCACCAAAUCCUUACCAUAUUAUUAACUGUACUUCACCAAAGGCAGAAUUUGAUCUACCUGGGAUUUGUGCUCAUCCCAAAAUUUUGGCAGGUUAGUCAAAACAAAAGGAAAUUAAAAAUCAGAGUCCUUGACUUCCAGGUGGUUGAUUAGCUCCAAUGGCAGUAUUACCUUUGCUACAAUUACUGUUCAAACUUAGAAAUUUACUAACUUAAGAGCAAAGAAAAAUCAUACAAAUUAAAUUCAGAGGGUGAGACAAUAGGUUUUUGAGAGAUAAAGCAUAUUAGAUCUACAGACAUUUACUGAGGUGGAAGCAGGGCUAACUUAGUAGGUGUUUUGCAAAAUGAUAUAUUUAGGGUUAAGGAAAAAAGGAAAGCCAUUUACGUGGUUUAUAACAAUUUAAUUCACAUGGCAUAAGAAACAUAAAUGAAGGUAGGGUCCAUUUGUUUAAAGGUGUAUUAAGUAAAUGCAAAAUGACAGCAAAUGAUCAAAGACCUAGAACAGGUCCACUCAACUCUUGGUAGAGGUCCUUAACCACAAAACCUUGGUU